This 187-nucleotide unclassified non-coding RNA is filed under the name uncultured Hypocreales. RNAcentral describes it as "sequence contains ITS1". Lineage: Eukaryota; Fungi; Ascomycota; Sordariomycetes; Hypocreales. The record is from RNAcentral.
GAGGGUCGUAAAGGCCUCCUACUGCUCUUAACCAACCCGCGUACUAGCUGGAAAUCAUGUCUCUGCCUCGGCGGCGGCCCCAGGGGGGGCCAGCAGCCCGCCUGGCCGCUCUCGCGGCGAGGCCGGGUGCUGCCGGUGGCACACAAACCAGACAACAUUGCUACAAUAGUUAAUUACAAACCUAUUA